UACGGAGGGUGCAAGCGUUAAUCGGAAUUACUGGGCGUAAAGCGCGCGUAGGCGGCCAAGUAAGCUAGAUGUGAAAUCCCUGGGCGUCAACCUGGGAACGUAGCAUUUAGUAACUGCUUGGUCUAGAGUGCAGAAGAGGAGUGUGGAAUUUCCGGUUGUAGCGGUGAAAUGCGUAGAGAUCGGAAGGAACAUCAGUGGCGAAGGCGACACUCUGGUCUGACACUGACGCUGAGGUGCGAAAGCGUGGUAGCAAACAGGAUUAGAAA
RNAcentral lists this ribosomal RNA (266 nucleotides) under uncultured bacterium. Its description in RNAcentral is "partial 16S ribosomal RNA". It matches the Rfam family "Bacterial small subunit ribosomal RNA", at positions 524 to 784 of the family's 1533-position model. The record is from RNAcentral.